Molecule: long non-coding RNA, 1416 nt
Organism: Triticum dicoccoides
Lineage: Eukaryota; Viridiplantae; Streptophyta; Magnoliopsida; Poales; Poaceae
Exons: 6
Source: RefSeq, a predicted model, not a curated record
GGCCGGGGCUGGGGCGCGAUGCAUGGGAGGCUCCACCCCGCCUCCAUCUCUACGCGUGCAGCGGCGACCCCGGAGGAGCUCGAGCCACAUCCGUGGUCCACGUCGCCGUCGUCGGCAGGAGGAGCGUGGGUCGCAGAGAUGGCCGGCUCAGUCCGGCUUUCGCGCUGCCGUCCAUCCACCCAAGACACCAGUCCCCGCGUCCUCGCGUACAUCCUCUCUCGCUGUCACACACACUCUCUCUUCCGUCCUCUCACGCACGUCCUCGUGGCCGGAUAUUUGGUAAUUUCUUUUCUGAGCAUAAAUAGAUAUUGUGCCCCCACCUGUUUGUUGUUUUGCCCAGCUGAAAGGUGGAUCAAAUAUGAAAUACGUGAACGUUCCAUAGUGUGAAAAGCAAGCCAUGGUCUUGUUAAAGUUCCGUUGAAUUUCUGUGAUACCUAAGAAGUAUUAAUGCUCAUAUUUUUGCAAUUUGCUCUCCACAACUUUCAGUCACUGGUUCUUGAGGAAAGCAGGUAAUGCAUUUUGUUUGUGUCAACUAUACUGAAUCUGCAAAGCCUUUUUUAUCUUCAGAGAAAUUCACACUCUGCAUUAGUUGCAAAAGAUGCUGAUUUUGAUCUUAACAAUUGCAGGGAACUAUGAGACUUGCACAGUUUGGGCAGCGUCAGCACAACAGGCAGAGUUUCUGUUCAAGUAGUAGCAGACCAGCAAAGCGCGGACGAGGAGAUCCAGGUCAUGGGCCAUCCCCAUUUAGAUCUAUGUCAAUUAUAAGCUCCACAAGAAAAUAGCAAACUUUUGUAUCGACCGGGCGCAUCAGUGACUUGACGGGGAUAGCAAGACACAUAGAAGAAUAUAAAGCAUCAAGGUAGCAACUCGUUGGUUUUUGCUCCCAGCUGAUGCAUACUACUUUGCUUGCAGCCAUCGUCAACCAUUGUUGCUGGUAUCGUCACUUUUUUAGAACCAAAGAAAUAUUGCUUUUCAACUCAGAUGUGUGUUAGGUGAUGUUGCAUGCCAUUUUUGUUCAUCGGCCUGACAUGAUUUGGAUUGGUGCAGAGGUCGGUGUGAAUGAAAAGCUAGCUUCUGAAGACGCAGUCGAUUAUUAUUGCCUAUUUUUCUAUUGAAAGGUGUUGCUUCUUUUAUCUUGACAGUCGACGUCUGCUGGACCUGCCAGUUCUCAGGUGGAAGGUGGUGACCAGCAGCGCGCACGUGGACAAUGAUUGGGAUGGUGCUAUUACCCGUGCACAGGACUGCCUAAUGUCUAUUCUGGGAACGGUUAUUUCCCUGCUCUUGCAGACAAAUCACCUGAUUUGAACUGUGUACGAGAUAAAGUUAUGCAAGCUUCUGCGUGCUCGGAGUCCCCACUCUCAUGUUGUUGGAGCAGUGACAUACAUGUGGCGGCUAUCCUCAAUAGGGAGUAGCAAG